GGUGGGCUGGAUUUGGCCUAUGGGCUUGUGGUUUGACCAUCCUUGGUCUGAAAUGACAUGCGGACCCCUUACUCAGCAUUUUCCAAAAGAAAUAAACAGUAAGAGGCAGGCGGAGGCUGACAUUUUCCUUCUCUGGGCAUCAUUCCAGGACCCUGAAGAUCCUCAAAUGAACUUGCCUUCAUCUCACAGGUAGAUGCACUCUUUCUGAUGAUGCUGAAAUAGAAGACGCACUUCUGAAUUCUGAAAGGUACCUAGCUAAAUCUGAUUACAUUGCAUUACACAUGUGAGACUUUUCCCUGGGGAUUGGC
Odocoileus virginianus texanus is the source of this 308-nucleotide non-coding RNA. NCBI's taxonomy places the organism in Eukaryota, Metazoa, Chordata, Mammalia, Artiodactyla, Cervidae. The record is from RefSeq and is a predicted model, not a curated record.